UUGCUAAUUCUUUCUGAACAGUUCUGUUCUACUCUUUCUCUUCUACUCAAAGCGAAGAAAGCUGGGCAAUGUAUUCAGUAGAAAACCAUUUAAGGUGCUCAAUCUUUCAAACUAUCUUAAAUAACAGACUCUUAUACGGGAGUAAAACUAAGAUAUGUUUUAUAUUUCAAAGUAUUUGAAUUCUUCAUAAGCAUUUGACCAGCCUGAUUUUAUAUUUUAGUGCGACGUUUCAAUUUUGCGGAUUUGAACAUAGAUUUUACUUUAUUUAUUCAAAAUGUAGCAAUGUAUGAGAUGAUGUUGAAGAAUAUAUUUAUUUUCCGAGAUUGUCUAUAUGGUUUUUGACUGAAACCCCCUAAAAUAUUACAAAUUCUAGAGCAUUGGAUCGCGUUGAGAUUCAUGCAACAUAACUAAGCCCCCUUCUUUUUCUCUCUUUAUUUUCCUCGGUCCGCAUGCCACCGCUGCUUUCAUGCGCACGCGCACGCGGAGCCUCCACCUCCUGCUCCGUCAUCACCCUAUCGCGCCGCCGCCUGGCUAGAAGGGGUCAACGAGGCCGGCGAGAGGGUGGCACCGAGUCCCCCGUCCCUCCGUCUUUCUCACCUCCGGUGGCUCGCCGUAGCUAGAUCCGCCACCACCGGCCGCCGCCUCCUAAUCAGUUUCGUUGUUUUCCUCCGUUGCCAACGCCACCCACCGCCUAUUGCCAACCCUACUGAUGAGUUGAUAGGAAGGUAAUUUUAUAUCUUUGCUAGCAUGCAUUUGAUAGAAAAAUCACACGACCUUCAAAGUGUCAUUAAAAAAAAGUGGAUGCCUUGUGCUAGACAUAGGCGUAUAGCCAUAUUUACCUUCCUUUUUUUUUUAAUUUACCAAACAUAUUGUAUAUUCCAUGCUGCCGACUGAUGUUCAAAAAUUAAGUAAUUUUAGUCAGAACAUCUACAAUGUCAGCAAAAUGAGUUCUGUUACAGUCUUGAACACAGUGCAAUCCAAUAUACCAAGCUUGACUGCAGUAGACCAGUAGUGGCUGAUCACCAAAAUUGGCAGCAAAGUAGGUUUUGAAGUUGACGUGAGUGCAAGGCUGCAAAAAUGUCUCAAAGAAAGCACGUCAAGAUGCAAUGAUGCAGCAUGUAUAUUCUUCAACCAUGUUAAGAGGCAUAUAUCAUGGCACCAGCACCCCCAAACACCGAAAUCGCAUUCCUCGUUCUUAUCCUCUUCAUUCACCAUGCUUCGUACCUUCAUCAUUCUUGUGCCUCUGCUCUUCUCCAUACAUUCUCCGGCGUGUUCUGCUGCAACGGACACGAUUUCAGCCGGUGAAGCACUCCCGAAAGAUGAGAAGCUUGUCUCUCGCAAUGGCAGGUUCGCGCUCGGCUUCUUCCAUCCGGACACCGACAGUAAGUUCUUCCCCCGGCACACCCUCAAGCACUGGUACCUAGGCAUAUGGUUCGACAAGAUACCAGUGUUAACUCCAAUAUGGAUAGCAAACAGAGAGAACCCAAUUGUAGGCCAUCACAGAGUGACAAAACUCACAAUUGCCAGUGAUGGCAACCUUGCCAUCUUCAACCAAGCCACCAGAUCGACGGUUUGGUCGACUCAUGCCAGUAUCACAGCCAAGAAAACCAUGGUUGUCCUCCAGGAUAAUGGAAACCUCAUCUUAAGAGAUGCAUCCAACUCGUCCAACGUACUAUGGCAGAGCUUUGACUACCCUACUGAUGUCAUGCUUAUUGGUGCAAAGUUUGGCCUAGAUAAGGUGACUGGUCUGAACCGUGUUAUUGUUUCCAAGAAGAGUUUGGCUGAUCCAGCUGCUGGCCUCUAUUGCCUGGAAUUAGACCCUACUGGUGCUAACCAAUACGUCUUAGAGUUUUGCAACUCUUCCAUAGUCUAUUGGUCUACUGGGGAAUGGAAUGGCCAAUUCUUCAACUCAAUACCAGAGAUGUCAGGACGAACUCUAUUUGACUUCAAGUUCAUCAACAACAACCAAGAGAAGUACUUUGUGUUCAACUUGUUAGAAAAAGAUCUAAUAACUGUUUGCUUUUUGGACAUAUCUGGUCAGAUGAAACAGCUCCUCUGGCUUGAGAACAAGCAGGAAUGGGCAACGAUCUAUACUCUGCCUAAAGAUCUAUGUGAUAUCUAUGCUACAUGUGGACCUUUCACUGUCUGCAACAGCAAUGCACUCCAAGUGUGCGAUUGCAUUAAGGGAUUCUCAGUAAGAUCACCUAAGGAUUGGGAGUUAGAGGAUAGAGCUGGUGGAUGCAUAAGAAAUACACCAUUAGAUUGCGGCACCAAGAACCAAAGCAGAACUGCUACAACUGACAAGUUUUACUCCUUGCCCGGUAUUGGAUUGCCCACAGAAGCCAACAUCAUAGAAGCUGCUAGGACAGCUGACCAAUGUGCACUAGCUUGCCAGAAUAAUUGUUCUUGCACUGCAUAUUCCUAUGGUAACAGGUGCUCUGUAUGGUAUGAUGAUUUGCUUAAUGUAAGAGUAUAAUAAAGGUACUACUAGUGAUGGAGAAAUUCUCUACCUACGUAUUGCCGCCAAAGACGCAAGUUGGAGCCAUAAUAAAAAUGGAAAAGGAAAGAUUAUUGGUGCUGCGGUUGCUUCCAGUGUUGUUGCUUUGGGUUUGUUUUCAGCUACUGUAAUCUGGAGGUACAAAAGGAAGCAAUUUACUGCUCCUACUAAUAAUGUUCAAGGGGGAAAUGGAAUUGUGUCUUUCAAAUACAGUGUUCUGCAACAUGCAACUAAAAAUUUCUCUGAGAAAUUAGGAGAAGGCGGCUUUGGUGCUGUAUUCAAAGGGUUUCUAGGUGGCUCGACACCUAUUGCAGUAAAAAAGCUUGGUGGUGACCGUCAAGGUGAGAAGCAAUUCAGGGCUGAGGUGAGUUCCAUUGGAAUAAUCCAACACAUCAAUUUGGUUAAGCUUAUUGGAUUCUGUUCUGAUAGUGGUAGGAGGCUGCUUGUAUAUGAACACAUGCCAAAUUGCUCUCUUGACACGCACCUUUUUCAGAACCAUACUACGAUCCUAAACUGGAGUACCCGUUACCAGAUAGCCCUUGGAGCUGCUAGAGGGUUGGCAUACCUGCAUGAGAGUUGCAGGGAUUGCAUCAUACACUGUGAUAUUAAGCCAGAGAACAUACUUCUUGAUGGAUCAUUUGUGCCUAAAAUUGCAGAUUUUGGAAUGGCAAAAUUUGUUGGAAGAGAUUUCAGUAGAGUUCUUACUACAUUUAGAGGAACCAUAGGGUAUCUUGCACCAGAAUGAAUUAGUGGAGUGGCCAUUACAUCCAAGGUUGAUGUCUAUAGCUAUGGAAUGGUGUUGUUUGAAAUAAUGUCAGGUAGGAGGAACUCAUGCAAACAAGACACAAGUGAUGAUGAUCAUGCUGCAUAUUUCCCUGUGCAAGUUGCAAAUGAACUUCUCGAGGGAGAUGUCAGGAGCUUGCUAGAUAACAAACUGCUUGAUGAUGUUAACCUGGAUGAGGCUGAACGAAUAAGCAAGGUGGCCUGCUGGUGUGUCCAAGAAAAUGAGUCUAAUCGGCCGACCAUGGGCGAAGUGGUUCAAAUUCUUGAAGGUUUGUUAGAACUUGAAAUGCCACCAAUGCCAAGAUUACUUCAAGCUAUCACAGCCACAGGGAGCUCAUAUUGA
Molecule: non-coding RNA, 3623 nt
Organism: Oryza sativa Japonica Group (Japanese rice)
Lineage: Eukaryota; Viridiplantae; Streptophyta; Magnoliopsida; Poales; Poaceae
Source: RefSeq, a predicted model, not a curated record